GUGCUUCUUACUCUUGAUCCAGGAUUCGAGAGAUGUGAUGUUUUGAUGAGCCAACUCAAGCUCGGCUUUGGAGGACUGAAGGUUGACCGUCAUAUGAGAGACUUCUUUCUGAAGCUUCUUCUCCCGUUCAGUUGUCGCCUGAAAUUCUUUGACGGCAGCAUUCUUCUCAGUGGUAACGGCCGCCACCUUAUCCAUCCAAGAUCAGUGAAAGUUGACGAUCUUCCAAUACUUGCUCUCCAAAGCAUGCAUAUCGUGUGCCCACUAAAAAUAGAAGACAAGUCAAGUCAGAAAAAAAAAGAGGAAUAUUGGAAAAUUACCCCAAAUAUCGUCGGAU
RNAcentral lists this long non-coding RNA (334 nucleotides) under Elaeis guineensis (African oil palm). Its description in RNAcentral is "long non-coding RNA (EGUI_LNC030968)". The record is from RNAcentral. Lineage: Eukaryota; Viridiplantae; Streptophyta; Magnoliopsida; Arecales; Arecaceae.